UAAUGUUACCACUCUUUUAGAAUUUGUCUAGCAGGCUUUCUGAUUUUUACCAGAAAGCACCC
Molecule: small nuclear RNA, 62 nt
Filed under: Tupaia belangeri chinensis (Chinese tree shrew)
Lineage: Eukaryota; Metazoa; Chordata; Mammalia; Scandentia; Tupaiidae
Description: Tupaia chinensis (Chinese tree shrew) U7 small nuclear RNA
Rfam family: U7 small nuclear RNA
About the family: Animal histone pre-mRNAs are spliced by a different mechanism than nuclear pre-mRNAs and self-splicing introns. This processing involves the U7 snRNP, which contains only one RNA species: U7.
Source: Rfam by way of RNAcentral